This 1345-nucleotide ribosomal RNA is filed under the name uncultured bacterium. RNAcentral describes it as "bacterial SSU rRNA". It matches the Rfam family "Bacterial small subunit ribosomal RNA", at positions 28 to 1381 of the family's 1533-position model. The record is from RNAcentral.
GACGAACGCUGGCGGCGUGCUUAACACAUGCAAGUCGAACGGAAAGGCCCUGCUUUUGUGGGGUGCUCGAGUGGCGAACGGGUGAGUAACACGUGAGUAACCUGCCCUUGACUUUGGGAUAACUUCAGGAAACUGGGGCUAAUACCGGAUAGGAGCUCCUGCUGCAUGGUGGGGGUUGGAAAGUUUCGGCGGUUGGGGAUGGACUCGCGGCUUAUCAGCUUGUUGGUGGGGUAGUGGCUUACCAAGGCUUUGACGGGUAGCCGGCCUGAGAGGGUGACCGGCCACAUUGGGACUGAGAUACGGCCCAGACUCCUACGGGAGGCAGCAGUGGGGAAUAUUGCACAAUGGGCGGAAGCCUGAUGCAGCAACGCCGCGUGCGGGAUGACGGCCUUCGGGUUGUAAACCGCUUUCGCCUGUGACGAAGCGUGAGUGACGGUAAUGGGUAAAGAAGCACCGGCUAACUACGUGCCAGCAGCCGCGGUGAUACGUAGGGUGCGAGCGUUGUCCGGAUUUAUUGGGCGUAAAGGGCUCGUAGGUGGUUGAUCGCGUCGGAAGUGUAAUCUUGGGGCUUAACCCUGAGCGUGCUUUCGAUACGGGUUGACUUGAGGAAGGUAGGGGAGAAUGGAAUUCCUGGUGGAGCGGUGGAAUGCGCAGAUAUCAGGAGGAACACCAGUGGCGAAGGCGGUUCUCUGGGCCUUUCCUGACGCUGAGGAGCGAAAGCGUGGGGAGCGAACAGGCUUAGAUACCCUGGUAGUCCACGCUGUAAACGGUGGGUACUAGGUGUGGGGUCCAUUCCACGGGUUCCGUGCCGUAGCUAACGCUUUAAGUACCCCGCCUGGGGAGUACGCCGCAAGGCUAAAACUCAAAGGAAUUGACGGGGCCCCGCACAAGCGGCGGAGCAUGCGGAUUAAUUCGAUGCAACGCGUAGAACCUUACCUGGGUUUGACAUGGAUCGGGAGCGCUCAGAGAUGGGUGUGCCUCUUUUGGGGUCGGUUCACAGGUGGUGCAUGGCUGUCGUCAGCUCGUGUCGUGAGAUGUUGGGUUAAGUCCCGCAACGAGCGCAACCCUUGUUCACUGUUGCCAGCACGUUAUGGUGGGGACUCAGUGGAGACCGCCGGGGUCAACUCGGAGGAAGGUGGGGAUGACGUCAAGUCAUCAUGCCCCUUAUGUCCAGGGCUUCACGCAUGCUACAAUGGCUGGUACAGAGAGUGGCGAGCCUGUGAGGGUGAGCGAAUCUCGGAAAGCCGGUCUCAGUUCGGAUUGGGGUCUGCAACUCGACCUCAUGAAGUCGGAGUCGCUAGUAAUCGCAGAUCAGCAACGCUGCGGUGAAUACGUUCCCGGGGCU